RNAcentral lists this ribosomal RNA (429 nucleotides) under Actinomycetes bacterium. RNAcentral describes it as "Actinobacteria bacterium partial 16S ribosomal RNA". It matches the Rfam family "Bacterial small subunit ribosomal RNA", at positions 355 to 776 of the family's 1533-position model. The record is from RNAcentral. Lineage: Bacteria; Bacillati; Actinomycetota; Actinomycetes.
UAGGGAAUCUUCCGCAAUGGGCGAAAGCUUGACGGAGCAACGCCGCGUGAGUGAUGAAGGUCUUCGGAUCGUAAAACUCUGUUAUUAGGGAAGAACAAAUGUGUAAGUAACUAUGCACGUCUUGACUGUACCUAAUCAGAAAGCCACGGCUAACUACGUGCCAGCAGCCGCGGUAAUACGUAGGUGGCAAGCGUUAUCCGGAAUUAUUGGGCGUAAAGCGCGCGUAGGCGGUUUUUUAAGUCUGAUGUGAAAGCCCACGGCUCAACCGUGGAGGGUCAUUGGAAACUGGAAAACUUGAGUGCAGAAGAGGAAAGUGGAAUUCCAUGUGUAGCGGUGAAAUGCGCAGAGAUAUGGAGGAACACCAGUGGCGAAGGCGACUUUCUGGUCUGUAACUGACGCUGAUGUGCGAAAGCGUGGGGAUCAAACAGG